UACGUAGGGUGCAAGCGUUGUCCGGAAUUAUUGGGCGUAAAGAGCUCGUAGGCGGUCUGUCGCGUCGGCUGUGAAAACCCGGAGCUCAACUCCGGGCCUGCAGUCGAUACGGGCAGACUGGAGUUCGGCAGGGGAGACUGGAAUUCCUGGUGUAGCGGUGAAAUGCGUAGAUAUCGGGAGGAAUACCAGUGGCGAAGGCGGCUUACUGGCCCAUUCCUGACGCUGAGGGAGACGAAAGCGGUGGGGAGCAAACGGG
Molecule: ribosomal RNA, 256 nt
Filed under: uncultured bacterium
Lineage: Bacteria
Description: partial 16S ribosomal RNA
Rfam family: Bacterial small subunit ribosomal RNA
Source: RNAcentral